Long non-coding RNA from Saccostrea cuccullata (small rock oyster), 941 nucleotides. RefSeq lists it as uncharacterized. The transcript is spliced from 3 exons. The record is from RefSeq and is a predicted model, not a curated record. Lineage: Eukaryota; Metazoa; Mollusca; Bivalvia; Ostreida; Ostreidae.
AACGAGGAAUUUCCACAUGAUGAUCAUGAUGAUGAUCAUGAUGUUUGUAAACGAAACCUGCUCAAUUUUCAAAAUGAAGGUAUAGUAGCUGACAUAUAGUGUACAUGUACCACUUGAAGAUUUGUCCCCCUUGUAAAUACAAGAAACGCAAAGUAUAUACAGAUACAUACACAUAAAAGGAGACAUCAUCUCAUGAUCUGUGGAUCCAAAACUUUAAGGACAAAACUUUUGAUAAUUCAUUCAUGUAAAGAGUGUUGACUGGAAUAUUGAAUAUCUAAUGAAUGGAACCAAGAGAAAUAAUUUAAUAAGUAUUUUAUUGUAUAUUACUCUUUUUAUUCAUCAGUCAAAUUUCUGAAUUAAAAAUUAAAUUUAAAGGAUUAAAUAAGUUUUUUAUUAUUAUUUUGAUUAAAACAAGUUCUUUAACUUAUUAUUCUCUUAUAUAAACAGGCAUUUAAGGUCAUACGCAGCAUAGUUUGCACUUUAUUGGGUUCUUCCCUGGAGUUGAAGAGCUCCACUAAAAGAAGGACGUGUGCAAUAUUUUUAUUGUCUAUACAUGGAUUUGUAAAUCUCUUCUAAAGCAAUUUUGAUGAAAAAAAAGCUUGAAUUUUAUAUGUUUUGUAAUUUUUGUACAUUUUUCUUUGAAUAAUGCAAACAUGUUCAAGCUUUAAUGUCUGUUCAAAAUCCCUGGAAAUGCAUGCUGAUUUUUUGUCUAAAAAUUUGUAAUAUGGUAGACCGUACAUGUAUUCAAAGUUUAAAUUUAGAAUAUCUUGAAAAAUUAUUAGUAUAUAGGUAAGGUACCUUGCGUAUGUCCUUAAAUGUAAAAUGAAGGGAUGUGUACCUUUAUUCAAUGAAAUAGGGAACUCAUGAAGCUGAAUCUUAUAUGGAAGCAUCCCUGGGUAGUGAAGAUUCCAAAUUGUUCAAAUCAUGACCCCUGGGGGUUG